Molecule: ribosomal RNA, 467 nt
Filed under: uncultured bacterium
Lineage: Bacteria
Description: partial 16S ribosomal RNA
Rfam family: Bacterial small subunit ribosomal RNA
Source: RNAcentral
GACGAACGCUGGCGGCGUGCUUAACACAUGCAAGUCGAACGGAAAGGCCCUGCUUUUGUGGGGUGCUCGAGUGGCGAACGGGUGAGUAACACGUGAGUAACCUGCCCUUGACUUUGGGAUAACUUCAGGAAACUGGGGCUAAUACCGGAUAGGAGCUCCUGCUGCAUGGUGGGGGUUGGAAAGUUUCGGCUGUUGGGGAUGGACUCGCGGCUUAUCAGCUUGUUGGUGGGGUAGUGGAUUACCAAGGAUUGGACGGGUAGCCGGCCUGGAAGGGUGACCGGCCACAGAGGGAUAGGGAUGGGGCCCGGAGGCAUGCGGGAGGAAUGGGUGGAGACCUUUGCGCAAUAGGCGGCGGGAGGGAGGAAGGCCGCCGCGUGCGAGAUGACGGCUUUCGGGUAGUAAAAAGCUUUCGCCUGUAACGAAGCGUGAGGAAGGGAACUGAGUAAAAAGGCACGGGCAACCUACGG